UCGAGAAUCUUUCACAAUGGGGGAAACCCUGAUGGAGCGACGCCGCGUGGAGGAUACGGUCUUCGGAUCUUAAACUCCUGUCAUGCGAGAGCAAGGCGCAAGCUUGAUAGUAUCGCAAGAGGAAGAGGCGGCUAACUCUGUGCCAGCAGCCGCGGUAAUACAGAGGCCUCAAGCGUUGUUCGGAAUCACUGGGCGUAAAGGGUGCGCAGGCGGUGUGAUUAGUCAACUUGUAAAAUUCAUGCGCUCAACGUAUGACUGCAAUUGAUACUGUCACACUAGAGUGCUGAAGAGGGGAUAAGAAUUCACGGUGUAGCAGUGAAAUGCGUAGAUAUCGUGAGGAAUACCAAAGGCGAAAGCAUAUCCCUGGUAAGCUACUGACGCUCAUGCACGAAGGCUAGGGGAGCAAAUG
This 409-nucleotide ribosomal RNA is filed under the name uncultured bacterium. RNAcentral describes it as "bacterial SSU rRNA". It matches the Rfam family "Bacterial small subunit ribosomal RNA", at positions 355 to 774 of the family's 1533-position model. The record is from RNAcentral.